CCGACUCAUUUCACAUACAUAGAGAUGCAGCUUUUCUUUUUACAAUAUUGUGUAGUUUUGUAAGUUAUUUUUUAUUUUCCUUUAUGAUUCCUUAAGUUAUUAAUCUGUUACAUUCAAAGACUUAUAAAACUGCAUGAUAUAAUGAAGGACUUAAUCUUGUGACCAUAGACCAGUUCCUUGUUGUAGCAAUCCCUAUGGGGUUAUAAAACCUCCAGUGUUUGGUAGUUGGGCCAUCUUAUGGAAAGGGAGCUGGCAAUCUGCAGCUGCCGUGGACAUUGGAUGAGAAAGCAUGAAAGGUAAGCUUCAAAUUUAAAUUAUAUUGUAUGUCUUUG
This 332-nucleotide long non-coding RNA is filed under the name Homo sapiens (human). RNAcentral's name for it is "HSALNT0146360". The record is from RNAcentral. Lineage: Eukaryota; Metazoa; Chordata; Mammalia; Primates; Hominidae.